CCCUGCACCUUUCAGAUUGGAAAAUAUUAAAGACGAAGAAGGCAAGGAACAACUUUUGUCAUGGUGGAGGGAGCGUGGCAAGGCUUUUCCAACACUUUCAAUUAUGGUCCGAGAUAUCCUGGCUAUUCAAGCAUCAUCAGUAGCAUCGGAGA
Molecule: non-coding RNA, 152 nt
Organism: Nicotiana tabacum (common tobacco)
Lineage: Eukaryota; Viridiplantae; Streptophyta; Magnoliopsida; Solanales; Solanaceae
Source: RefSeq, a predicted model, not a curated record